Molecule: long non-coding RNA, 3478 nt
Organism: Phyllopteryx taeniolatus (common seadragon)
Lineage: Eukaryota; Metazoa; Chordata; Actinopteri; Syngnathiformes; Syngnathidae
Exons: 3
Source: RefSeq, a predicted model, not a curated record
UCAUACUGUUCAAUUGCCCUGUGUCAAGCGUCAAGACCUUCAUGUUUCUGGGAAUUACGGUCUAUCAGGACCUGAAUUGGGAGAUCAACAUCAACUCCAUCCUCAAAAAGCCCCAGCUGAGGAUGUACUUCCUGUGGCUUCUGAGGAAGCAUGGCCUGCCACAGGAGCUGUUGAGGCAGUUUUCCAAUAUCAUCGAAUUAGUCCUGGUUCUUCCAUCACAGUCUGGUUUGGUGAUGCUACAAAAAAGGACAAACGCCGACUGCAACGGAAAUCAUAACUGCUGAAAAGAUUGUAGGCGGCCAUCUACCCACCCUUGAGGACUUGCACGCUGCCAGAACUAAGACAAGAGCAUGCAAAAUCCUCUUUGACCCUCCACAUCCUGGUCACCACCUCUUCCAGCUCCUUCCCUCAGGUAGGCACUACCGAACAAUGCAAACUAAAACAAGCAGACAUUCCAACAGCUUCUUCCCUCUUGCCAUUAACUUCUUAAACACUUAAUUUACAAUUCCAUUCCAACAUGCUGCCAAUUUUUUGUCUUGAGUUUGUUGUCACAUUUCUGUCGGGCCAAUUUUUCAUUACUCGUGCACUCACUGAAAUAGGCUCGCCACGCUGCACUAUUUGCAUAUCUGUUGUUGACCAAUACUGGCCACUGAUGUGCCUGAGUAACAUCUGCAACAUUUGCACAAUCGACAUUCUCCCAGAUUAUCGCACUACUAGUCACUUUAAACUGCAUACAUUUCUUGACCAUUACGCCCUGAAUUAGUCACCAGCCAAUCACAGGGAACACAUAGACAAACAACCAUUCGCACUGACAUUCACACCUACAGACAAUUUAGAGUCCAUGCAUGUUUUUGGAAUCUGGGAGGAAACCGGAGUACCUGGAGAAAACCAACGUGGGCACGAGGAAAAAAUGCAAACUCCACAUAGGUGAGGCGUUUGAACACCAGUCCUCAGAACUGUGAGGCGGAUGUGCUAACAACCGAACCCAGUGAAGAUUCAAGCAGUCGUUGAUUGGCCCAUUCCCUACACCUGUAAAGAGCUGCAACGUUUCCUGAGAUUUGCCAAUUUCUACCAAAGAUUCAUCAGUAAUAAAAGUGGCCAUACGUCUCACCAGCCUCACCUCCACCAGCUCUCCCUUCCAGUGGACUCCUGCUACAUCCCAAGCCUUCGAGCGUCUCAAUGAACUAUUCACCAGUGCACCCGUCCUGAGACACCCGGACCCCUCCCUCCAAUUUGUUGUAGAGGUUGACGCCUCUGACACUUGAGCAGCGACUGUUCUCUCCCCGAAGGAACCUUCUUUUCCCGUCGCCUCUCUCCGUCGGAACGCAACUAUGACGUUGGAAAUCAGGAACUGUUAGCCAUUGUCUGGGCUUUAGAUGAAUGGAGGCAUUUGCUGUAGGGGAUCGUUACUCCCUUCAUCAUCUGGACCGACCAUUAAAAUCUUGCUUACCUCCAUUCCGCUAAACGGUUGAAUCCCCGUCAAGCUCUUGGGCACUAUUCCUCAGCCGAUUUAAUUUCAGCCUCUCCUUCCGCCCUGGUUCCCGUAACGGGAAGCCUGAUGCCCUCCCUUCCUGCCUCCUGCUUUGUUGGCGCGACCACGUGGGAGAUUGAACGGGUGGUUAAGGAGGCUCAGACGUCACAACCGGAUCCCAAGACCGGACCUCCUAAUCGACUGUUCGUGCCCAAUUCCGCGCGCUCUGACGUCCUCCAGUGGGCCCACAAUUCUAAGUUUACCUGUCACCCCGGAAUCACCCACAACAUCCAGUUCAUUCAACAACACUUCUGGUGGCCCAGCCUGGUUAACUCAUUUAAUCCCAGCCAUUUUUCAAAAGAGAACACCGCUCAGUACCAGCCAUUUGAGAGGAUUUUGACCGAUCUUUCAAGGCACACAGAAUGUUGUGUUCUAUGGCUAUGUAAACAUGACACCCACCAAAAAAAAAAAAAAAAAAGAUUAGAGUUCCAUCUUUCAAUCAAAAAAAAGUUUCUACCGUUUUCCAUUCUUUAGUAAUUUGUGGUGGAACAUAGGUAAGUAAUACCAUCCAUCCAUCCAUCCAUUUUCUGAGCCGCUUCUCCUCACUAGGUUCGCGGGCGUGCUGGAGCCUAUCCCAGGUGUCAUCGAGCAGGAGGCGGGGUACACCCUGAACUGGUUGCCAGCCAAUCGCAGAGCACAUACAAACAAACAACCAUUCGCACUCACAGUCAUGCCUGCGGGCAAUUUAGAGUCUCCAAUUAAUGCAUGUUUUUGGGAUGUGGGAGGAAACCGGAGUGCCCGGAGAAAACCCACGCAGGCAUGGGGAGAACAUGCAAACUCCACACAGGCGGGGCCAGGGAUUGAACCCGGGUCCUCAGAACUGUGAGGCUGACGCUCUAACCAGUCAUCCACCGUGCCACCGUAAGUAAUACCAAAAUUCUAAAUUGUAUGAUGCACUGCUGUCAUCCAGUGUCCGUUUUUAUGGGGAUUAAAAUUGCUCUCUGGGUUAAUCCUAUGGUGAGGAGUGACGUCAGCCCCCUUCUGAAGCCUAUGGCGCACAAUAACGUAAAAGACGUAAAACUAUGUCUUUGGGAUUAGAUGAUCAAGUUCUAGAAGACGUGAAACUAAGUUUUUGGUAUUAAAUGGAUUAAAGGCACCCGGGAAUUCGUCCUUGCUCCGUCUGUGCCCGAGGCAAGGCUUCACAUCAACCCCCAGCUGGAUUGCUGUGCCCCUUACCCAUUCUGAGCCCCCCUGGUCCCACAUCUCCCGGGACUUCGUCACCAGCCUACCCCCAUUUGAAGGUAACACUGUCAUCCUCACCAUUAUUGACCGGUUCUCCAAGUGUGUUCACUAUGUACCUCUUCCCAAAUUGCCCUCUGGUUUUGAAACUGUUAACCUCCUUGUCAAUCAUGUGUUUUAAACUCCACGGAAUUCCGUUGGACUUCGUCUCGGACCGAGGGCCGCAGUUCUCCUCCCAAGUUUGUAAGGAGUUCUGUAAGGUGGUGGGCGCAGCAGCCAGUCUGUCUUCUGGAUACCAUCCACAGUCCAACAGCAAAUCAGAGUCUUGAGUCGGCUCUUCGCUGCGUUACCGCACGUAAUCCCACCUCCUAGAGUACCUUUCUCCCUUGGAUUGACUAUGCCCACAACUCCCUCACCAGCUCCGCCACAGUUCCUUUUUUAGAACUUGGGGGGCGCUUGGUGCCUCACCUUCCCUGCUCUCUCUCUCACUGGUCACCACCACCCCCUCACCUGUGCACCUGUUCAUCAGCACUCAUCACUGCCGGUAUUUAAGAUCGCCAGAUCCAAGAGUUCGGCGCCAGAGUAUGGACGUACACUAGUGUGCUCCUUCCGUGUCACCUGCCUCGCCGUCUGUCCCAACCACGCCACCAAGCACUUCCUCCUGCCCGAGCCCCCCCACUUCCUGCAUGUUCCCUGCUUCGGCCAACCACCCUCCCUCCUCGAACAUCCAGCCUCCGAGAUAUCCUUCAAUAAACCAUUCUAAGUUAC